RNAcentral lists this ribosomal RNA (465 nucleotides) under uncultured bacterium. RNAcentral's name for it is "partial 16S ribosomal RNA". It matches the Rfam family "Bacterial small subunit ribosomal RNA", at positions 28 to 507 of the family's 1533-position model. The record is from RNAcentral.
GACGGACGCUGGCGGCGUGCUUAACACAUGCAAGUCGAACGGAAAGGCCCCAGCUUGCUGGGGUACUCGAGUGGCGAACGGGUGAGUAACACGUGGGUGAUCUGCCCUGCACUCUGGGAUAAGCCUGGGAAACUGGGUCUAAUACCGGAUAGGACCGUGCUUUAGUGUGUGCGGUGGAAAGUUUUUCGGUGCAGGAUGAGCCCGCGGCCUAUCAGCUUGUUGGUGGGGUAAUGGCCUACCAAGGCGGCGACGGGUGGCCGGCCUGAGAGGGUGUACGGCCACAUUGGGACUGAGACACGGCCCAGACUCCUACGGGAGGCAGCAGUGGGGAAUAUUGCACAAUGGGCGCAAGCCUGAUGCAGCGACGCCGCGUGGGGGAUGACGGCCUUCGGGUUGUAAACCCCUUUCGGCAGGGACGAAGCUUUUGUGACGGUACCUGCAUAAGAAGCACCGGCUAACUACGUA